GGCAUGUUAGUUUAAUGGUAAAACAAUGUAUUACGACCACAUAUCUAUAAGUUCAAAUCUUAUACAUGUCU
Transfer RNA from Aspergillus ustus, 71 nucleotides. It matches the Rfam family "tRNA". From Rfam's summary of the family: Transfer RNA (tRNA) molecules are approximately 80 nucleotides in length. The record is from Rfam. NCBI's taxonomy places the organism in Eukaryota, Fungi, Ascomycota, Eurotiomycetes, Eurotiales, Aspergillaceae.